This 970-nucleotide long non-coding RNA is filed under the name Olea europaea (common olive). Its description in RNAcentral is "long non-coding RNA (OEUR_LNC000019)". The record is from RNAcentral. Lineage: Eukaryota; Viridiplantae; Streptophyta; Magnoliopsida; Lamiales; Oleaceae.
CCGGACUGCCCAUCAACCCAAAGUCCCCCAAGUACACCUUUCCCUUUUGCCGUCUGACGAGCGAGCCCUCACGACAUUCUCAAUCUUUCUCUAUAAAUCGCGUCUUGUCUCUACAGCCCACUGAUUUCUCUCUCUAUCUACAAAAUCCACUCCCGAUUUUUCUGUCUAAAUCGAAGGAUUUUAAGGUAUAUCUGCUCUCUCUUUCUUUUCUUUUUUAUUCAUAUAUGUUGCGUACGUGGGUGAUUUGUCUUGUACGGUUUUCUUUUUAAAUCGUUUAAUUGGUGUGGGUUGUUUGUUGGAUCUGAAAUUUUGAAAUGGAAUUUGUUAGGUUUUGAUCGGAAAUUUGAAGCCAUACAAAUGAAAUUAAGCAUUGACAAUUAGGGCUCAGACAUAAUUCGUGGUUAUCCAGGAUUUUCGAGGCUUAAAUUGGAUGAGUCUAGGGUUUUGCAGACUUAUAAUUGAAGAAAUCUGUUUUUUAUUUAUCAGCGAAUUGAAGGACUAGCGGGCAAUUUAAUUAUUCGUUAGGGAUACUGGGUAAUUUAGAAGAUUUGAGGGAGUUCAGAUAUUAUUGAGUAGAAAAAUUAAGGAGUGCUAUGAAGGUGAGAUUUGAGCGGGGAUUGGAGUAAUUUGAUGUUUGAAGUUGGGGUAUUGGGUGUUGAGAAAUAUUGGGAAAAUGCAAAAAGACAAUCUUUAUUAUGCAUGGGACGGUUCAGCGGGAAGGCGAGAGCAAUAGGAACCUACAGAGGAGUAUUAGUCAGCACAUGCGGUCGGUCACACCACUGACCACGAGCAACAGAACUAUAGCUGCAGCUGGUGAUAAUCCAUCAGUUACUUCUUCUACCACCACCACAACCUCCACAGCCAGUGAUUCAUUUUUCAAGGUAAUUUCUUGUUGGAUUUUACGUAUUCCAUCUUUUUUGUAGUUUGGAUUUUGUAUGCCAUUGUUAUUGUCUCGUAGCAAAAUUGAAUU